GCUUGUCUCAAAGAUUAAGCCAUGCAUGUCUAAGUAUAAACAAAUUUAUAGUGAAACUGCGAAUGGCUCAUUAUAUCAGUUAUAGUUUAUUUGGCGAUAAAAACUACUUGGAUAACCGUAGUAAUUCUAGAGCUAAUACAUGCAAAGAACCCGACUUACGGAGGGUUGUAUUUAUUAGAUAAAAACCAAUGCCUCGUGCUUUUGGUGAGUCAUGAUAACUGCGCGGAUCGCAUGGCCUUGCGCCGGCGACGCUUCAUUCAAAUUUCUGCCCUAUCAACUUUCGAUGGUAAGAUAGAGGCUUACCAUGGUGUUAACGGGUAACGGGGAAUUGGGGUUCGAUUCCGGAGAGGGAGCCUGAGAAAUGGCUACCACUUCCAAGGAAGGCAGCAGG
RNAcentral lists this ribosomal RNA (391 nucleotides) under uncultured Rozellomycota. RNAcentral describes it as "uncultured Cryptomycota partial small subunit ribosomal RNA". It matches the Rfam family "Eukaryotic small subunit ribosomal RNA", at positions 30 to 432 of the family's 1831-position model. The record is from RNAcentral. Lineage: Eukaryota; Fungi; Rozellomycota.